ACCUUCACUAUUCCCUUAGUGAGCCCGUUUGCGCCUGAAUUGUUCCUUUUUUUUGUUCGAUGAAAACUCACAUAUAUUGAGCCUAAGCCUGUUUUAGCCUGCUUUUGUCCCUUGAAAACAUGUGAAUGCACUAGGUUAUGACGAGAUGAGAAAUGAGUACUCCUAUCAUGUUAGUGUGUUGAGUGAUGAUUCAUUGAUUUAUUGGGGAUAUAUAUUGUUGAACAGAAAAAAGAAAAGAAAAAAAAAUAGGAA
Molecule: long non-coding RNA, 252 nt
Filed under: Salvia miltiorrhiza (redroot sage)
Lineage: Eukaryota; Viridiplantae; Streptophyta; Magnoliopsida; Lamiales; Lamiaceae
Description: long non-coding RNA (SMIL_LNC009403)
Source: RNAcentral